GGACUACUAGGGUUUCUAAUCCUGUUUGAUCCCCGCACUUUCGAGCCUCAGCGUCAGUUACAGCUUCGUUAGCUGCCUUCGCAAUCGGUGUUCUAUGACAUCUCUAUGUAUUUCACCACUACAUGUCAUAUUCCGCCAACGGCAACUGUACUCAAGCCCUACAGUAUCAAUGGCAAUUUCCCGGUUAAGCCGGGAGAUUUCACCACUGACUUAUAAGGCCGCCUACGCUCCCUUUAAACCCAAUGAAUCCGGAUAACGCUUGCAUCCUUCGUCUUACCGCGGCUGCUGGCAC
RNAcentral lists this ribosomal RNA (292 nucleotides) under uncultured Bacteroidota bacterium. RNAcentral describes it as "uncultured Bacteroidetes bacterium partial 16S ribosomal RNA". Lineage: Bacteria; Pseudomonadati; Bacteroidota. The record is from RNAcentral.